This 777-nucleotide ribosomal RNA is filed under the name uncultured Neocallimastigales. RNAcentral's name for it is "partial large subunit ribosomal RNA". It matches the Rfam family "Eukaryotic large subunit ribosomal RNA", at positions 23 to 626 of the family's 3401-position model. The record is from RNAcentral. Lineage: Eukaryota; Fungi; Neocallimastigomycota; Neocallimastigomycetes; Neocallimastigales.
GAGAGAGACAUGCGCGCAUAUCAAUAAGCGGAGGAAAAGAAACUAACAAGGAUUCCCUUAGUAACGGCGAGUGAAGCGGGAAGAGCUCAAAUUUGAAAUCUUCAAGGUUUUACCUUGACGAAUUGUAGUUUAAAGAAGUGUUUUCUGCUGAAGUUUUGGUAAAAGUUCUUUGGAAUAGGACAUCAUAGAGGGUGAGAAUCCCGUAUUUGACCAUUAUUUUCAGCUUUGUGAUACACUUUCAAAGAGUCGGAUUGUUUGGGAAUGCAGUCCAAAAUGGGUGGUAAAUUUCAUCUAAAGCUAAAUAUUGGCGAGAGACCGAUAGCGAACAAGUACCGUGAGGGAAAGAUGAAAAGAACUUUGAAAAGAGAGUUAAACAGUACGUGAAAUUGUCAAAAGGGAAGCGUUUGACACCAGUGUUGUUUUCUCGAAAAUCAAUUAAAAAUGGCUCGAUUUUGUAUUGCUUGAGACCUUAAAAGCUCACUGUACAUUUUUCGUGUCUUUUUUAAUGCACUUUUCGUUUAACAAGUCAACAUCAGGUUUCUUUUGUUGUAAAAGGGUCAUUGGAAGGUGGCUUUCUUUUCGGAGAAAGUGUUUAUAGCCUUUGGCCUCUGCAAUCGGAAGAGACUGAGGUCUGCAGCGUAGACUCUUCGGGGUUAGAUACAUUUGUGCUAAGUUAUAGCUUUUUAUAGACAACUUGUUGACUAUAAUUAGUCUUGUAGCUUACUCGCUUAUGCUAUUUUACCUACGCUUAGGAUUGUUGAGUCGUAGAGCACGCAG